RNAcentral lists this ribosomal RNA (727 nucleotides) under Streptomyces sp. Its description in RNAcentral is "bacterial SSU rRNA". It matches the Rfam family "Bacterial small subunit ribosomal RNA", at positions 137 to 876 of the family's 1533-position model. The record is from RNAcentral. Lineage: Bacteria; Bacillati; Actinomycetota; Actinomycetes; Kitasatosporales; Streptomycetaceae.
UCUGGGACAAGCCCUGGAAACGGGGUCUAAUACCGGAUAAUACUUUCCCUCUCAUGGGGGAAGGUUAAAAGCUCCGGCGGUGAAGGAUGAGCCCGCGGCCUAUCAGCUAGUUGGUGGGGUAAUGGCCUACCAAGGCGACGACGGGUAGCCGGCCUGAGAGGGCGACCGGCCACACUGGGACUGAGACACGGCCCAGACUCCUACGGGAGGCAGCAGUGGGGAAUAUUGCACAAUGGGCGAAAGCCUGAUGCAGCGACGCCGCGUGAGGGAUGACGGCCUUCGGGUUGUAAACCUCUUUCAGCAGGGAAGAAGCGAAAGUGACGGUACCUGCAGAAGAAGCGCCGGCUAACUACGUGCCAGCAGCCGCGGUAAUACGUAGGGCGCAAGCGUUGUCCGGAAUUAUUGGGCGUAAAGAGCUCGUAGGCGGCUUGUUGCGUCGGUUGUGAAAGCCCGGGGCUUAACCCCGGGUCUGCAGUCGAUACGGGCAGGCUAGAGUGUGGUAGGGGAGAUCGGAAUUCCUGGUGUAGCGGUGAAAUGCGCAGAUAUCAGGAGGAACACCGGUGGCGAAGGCGGAUCUCUGGGCCAUUACUGACGCUGAGGAGCGAAAGCGUGGGGAGCGAACAGGAUUAGAUACCCUGGUAGUCCACGCCGUAAACGUUGGGAACUAGGUGUUGGCGACAUUCCACGUCGUCAGUGCCGCAGCUAACGCAUUAAGUUCCCCGCCUGG